AGCAGCCGCGGUAAUUCCAGCUCCAAUAGCGUAUAUUAAAGUUGUUGCAGUUAAAAAGCUCGUAGUUGAAUUUCAGGGUUAGUAGGUUGGUCAUGCCUCUGGUAUGCACUGGCCUCACUGAUUCCUCCUUCCUGAUGAGCCGUAAUGCCAUUAAUUUGGUGUUGCGGGGAAUUUGGACUGUUACUUUGAAAAAAUUAGAGUGUUUAAAGCAAGCUAACGCUUGAAUACAUUAGCAUGGAAUAAUGAAAUAGGACGUUCGAUCCUAUUUUGUUGGUUUCUAGGAUUGACGUAAUGAUUAAUAGGGAUAGUUGGGGGCAUUAGUAUUCAAUUGUCAGAGGUGAAAUUCUUGGAUUUAUUGAAGACUAACUACUGCGAAAGCAUUUGCCAAGGAUGUUUUCAUUAAUCAAGAACGAAAGUUAGGGGAUCGAAGACGAUCAGAUACCGUCGUAGUCUUAACCAUAAACUAUGCCGACUAGGGAUCGGAUGAUGUUAAUUUUUUAAUGACUCAUUCGGCGCCUUA
This 520-nucleotide ribosomal RNA is filed under the name uncultured Glomus. RNAcentral's name for it is "SSU rRNA". It matches the Rfam family "Eukaryotic small subunit ribosomal RNA", at positions 569 to 1090 of the family's 1831-position model. The record is from RNAcentral. Lineage: Eukaryota; Fungi; Glomeromycota; Glomeromycetes; Glomerales; Glomeraceae.